RNAcentral lists this ribosomal RNA (506 nucleotides) under uncultured Glomeraceae. Its description in RNAcentral is "SSU rRNA". It matches the Rfam family "Eukaryotic small subunit ribosomal RNA", at positions 569 to 1078 of the family's 1831-position model. The record is from RNAcentral. Lineage: Eukaryota; Fungi; Glomeromycota; Glomeromycetes; Glomerales; Glomeraceae.
CGCAGCCGCGGUAAUUCCAGCUCCAAUAGCGUAUAUUAAAGUUGCUGCAGUUAAAAAGCUCGUAGUUGAAUUUCGGGACCAAUAUGUCGGUCGUGCCUCGGUACGUACUGGCAUCGUUGGUUUCUCCCUUCUGACGAACCAUGAUGUCAUUUAUUUGGUGUCGUGGGGAAUCAGGACUGUUACUUUGAAAAAUUAGAGUGUUUAAAGCAGGCUCACGCUUGAAUACAUUAGCAUGGAAUAAUGAAAUAGGACGUUUGAUUCUAUUUUGUUGGUUUCUAGGAUCGACGUAAUGAUUAAUAGGGAUAGUUGGGGGCAUUAGUAUUCAAUCGUCAGAGGUGAAAUUCUUGGAUUUAUUGAAGACUAACUACUGCGAAAGCAUUUGCCAAGGAUGUUUUCAUUAAUCAAGAACGAAAGUUAGGGGAUCGAAGACGGUCAGAUACCGUCGUAGUCUUAACCAUAAACUAUGCCGACUAGGGAUCGGAUGAUGUUUAAUUUUUAAUGACUCA